ACGUCGAUAAAUGGGUGGUUGUUCGGCCUUCUAAGCCGAGGGUGGGGGGUUCGAGUCCCUCCUGCCGUACUA
This 72-nucleotide transfer RNA is filed under the name Paraburkholderia sp. SG-MS1. RNAcentral's name for it is "tRNA-Ser". It matches the Rfam family "tRNA". From Rfam's summary of the family: Transfer RNA (tRNA) molecules are approximately 80 nucleotides in length. Their secondary structure includes four short double-helical elements and three loops (D, anti-codon, and T loops). Further hydrogen bonds mediate the characteristic L-shaped molecular structure. tRNAs have two regions of fundamental functional importance: the anti-codon, which is responsible for specific mRNA codon recognition, and the 3' end, to which the tRNAs corresponding amino acid is attached (by aminoacyl-tRNA synthetases). tRNAs cope with the degeneracy of the genetic code in two manners: having more than one tRNA (with a specific anti-codon) for a particular amino acid; and 'wobble' base-pairing, i.e. permitting non-standard base-pairing at the 3rd anti-codon position. The record is from RNAcentral. Lineage: Bacteria; Pseudomonadati; Pseudomonadota; Betaproteobacteria; Burkholderiales; Burkholderiaceae.